GGGUUGUGAGGUUAAGCGACUAAGCGUACACGGUGGAUGCCCUGGCAGUCAGAGGCGAUGAAGGACGUGCUAAUCUGCGAUAAGCGUCGGUAAGGUGAUAUGAACCGUUAUAACCGGCGAUUUCCGAAUGGGGAAACCCAGUGUGAUUCGUCACACUAUCAUUAACUGAAUCCAUAGGUUAAUGAGGCGAACCGGGGGAACUGAAACAUCUAAGUACCCCGAGGAAAAGAAAUCAACCGAGAUUCCCCCAGUAGCGGCGAGCGAACGGGGAGGAGCCCAGAGCCUGAAUCAGUGUGUGUGUUAGUGGAAGCGUCUGGAAAGGCGCGCGAUACAGGGUGACAGCCCCGUACACAAAAAUGCACAUGCUGUGAGCUCGAUGAGUAGGGCGGGACACGUGGUAUCCUGUCUGAAUAUGGGGGGACCAUCCUCCAAGGCUAAAUACUCCUGACUGACCGAUAGUGAACCAGUACCGUGAGGGAAAGGCGAAAAGAACCCCGGCGAGGGGAGUGAAAAAGAACCUGAAACCGUGUACGUACAAGCAGUGGGAGCACAGAGCAAUCUGUGUGACUGCGUACCUUUUGUAUAAUGGGUCAGCGACUUAUAUUCUGUAGCAAGGUUAACCGAAUAGGGGAGCCGAAGGGAAACCGAGUCUUAACUGGGCGUUAAGUUGCAGGGUAUAGACCCGAAACCCGGUGAUCUAGCCAUGGGCAGGUUGAAGGUUGGGUAACACUAACUGGAGGACCGAACCGACUAAUGUUGAAAAAUUAGCGGAUGACUUGUGGCUGGGGGUGAAAGGCCAAUCAAACCGGGAGAUAGCUGGUUCUCCCCGAAAGCUAUUUAGGUAGCGCCUCGUGAAUUCAUCUCCGGGGGUAGAGCACUGUUUCGGCAAGGGGGUCAUCCCGACUUACCAACCCGAUGCAAACUGCGAAUACCGGAGAAUGUUAUCACGGGAGACACACGGCGGGUGCUAACGUCCGUCGUGAAGAGGGAAACAACCCAGACCGCCAGCUAAGGUCCCAAAGUCAUGGUUAAGUGGGAAACGAUGUGGGAAGGCCCAGACAGCCAGGAUGUUGGCUUAGAAGCAGCCAUCAUUUAAAGAAAGCGUAAUAGCUCACUGGUCGAGUCGGCCUGCGCGGAAGAUGUAACGGGGCUAAACCAUGCACCGAAGCUGCGGCAGCGACACUAUGUGUUGUUGGGUAGGGGAGCGUUCUGUAAGCCUGUGAAGGUGUACUGUGAGGUAUGCUGGAGGUAUCAGAAGUGCGAAUGCUGACAUAAGUAACGAUAAAGCGGGUGAAAAGCCCGCUCGCCGGAAGACCAAGGGUUCCUGUCCAACGUUAAUCGGGGCAGGGUGAGUCGACCCCUAAGGCGAGGCCGAAAGGCGUAGUCGAUGGGAAACAGGUUAAUAUUCCUGUACUUGGUGUUACUGCGAAGGGGGGACGGAGAAGGCUAUGUUGGCCGGGCGACGGUUGUCCCGGUUUAAGCGUGUAGGCUGGUUUUCCAGGCAAAUCCGGAAAAUCAAGGCUGAGGCGUGAUGACGAGGCACUACGGUGCUGAAGCAACAAAUGCCCUGCUUCCAGGAAAAGCCUCUAAGCAUCAGGUAACAUCAAAUCGUACCCCAAACCGACACAGGUGGUCAGGUAGAGAAUACCAAGGCGCUUGAGAGAACUCGGGUGAAGGAACUAGGCAAAAUGGUGCCGUAACUUCGGGAGAAGGCACGCUGAUAUGUAGGUGAAGUCCCUCGCGGAUGGAGCUGAAAUCAGUCGAAGAUACCAGCUGGCUGCAACUGUUUAUUAAAAACACAGCACUGUGCAAACACGAAAGUGGACGUAUACGGUGUGACGCCUGCCCGGUGCCGGAAGGUUAAUUGAUGGGGUCAGCGCAAGCGAAGCUCUUGAUCGAAGCCCCGGUAAACGGCGGCCGUAACUAUAACGGUCCUAAGGUAGCGAAAUUCCUUGUCGGGUAAGUUCCGACCUGCACGAAUGGCGUAAUGAUGGCCAGGCUGUCUCCACCCGAGACUCAGUGAAAUUGAACUCGCUGUGAAGAUGCAGUGUACCCGCGGCAAGACGGAAAGACCCCGUGAACCUUUACUAUAGCUUGACACUGAACAUUGAGCCUUGAUGUGUAGGAUAGGUGGGAGGCUUUGAAGUGUGGACGCCAGUCUGCAUGGAGCCGACCUUGAAAUACCACCCUUUAAUGUUUGAUGUUCUAACGUUGACCCGUGAUCCGGGUUGCGGACAGUGUCUGGUGGGUAGUUUGACUGGGGCGGUCUCCUCCUAAAGAGUAACGGAGGAGCACGAAGGUUGGCUAAUCCUGGUCGGACAUCAGGAGGUUAGUGCAAUGGCAUAAGCCAGCUUGACUGCGAGCGUGACGGCGCGAGCAGGUGCGAAAGCAGGUCAUAGUGAUCCGGUGGUUCUGAAUGGAAGGGCCAUCGCUCAACGGAUAAAAGGUACUCCGGGGAUAACAGGCUGAUACCGCCCAAGAGUUCAUAUCGACGGCGGUGUUUGGCACCUCGAUGUCGGCUCAUCACAUCCUGGGGCUGAAGUAGGUCCCAAGGGUAUGGCUGUUCGCCAUUUAAAGUGGUACGCGAGCUGGGUUUAGAACGUCGUGAGACAGUUCGGUCCCUAUCUGCCGUGGGCGCUGGAGAACUGAGGGGGGCUGCUCCUAGUACGAGAGGACCGGAGUGGACGCAUCACUGGUGUUCGGGUUGUCAUGCCAAUGGCACUGCCCGGUAGCUAAAUGCGGAAGAGAUAAGUGCUGAAAGCAUCUAAGCACGAAACUUGCCCCGAGAUGAGUUCUCCCUGACCCUUUAAGGGUCCUGAAGGAACGUUGAAGACGACGACGUUGAUAGGCCGGGUGUGUAAGCGCAGCGAUGCGUUGAGCUAACCGGUACUAAUGAACCGUGAGGCUUAACCUUACAACGCCGAAGGUGUUU
This 2932-nucleotide ribosomal RNA is filed under the name Escherichia coli. RNAcentral's name for it is "23S ribosomal RNA". It matches the Rfam family "Bacterial large subunit ribosomal RNA". Lineage: Bacteria; Pseudomonadati; Pseudomonadota; Gammaproteobacteria; Enterobacterales; Enterobacteriaceae. The record is from RNAcentral.